RNAcentral lists this small RNA (494 nucleotides) under Pan troglodytes (chimpanzee). RNAcentral describes it as "retained intron". The record is from RNAcentral. Lineage: Eukaryota; Metazoa; Chordata; Mammalia; Primates; Hominidae.
GAUUUUUGUCAACCGCAGCCUGGCGCUGGGGAAGAUUCGUUGCUUUGGCUUCGACAUGGACUACACUCUGGCUGCCUACGGGUCCCCAGCUUAUGAGGCCCUGACCUUCGAGCUGCUGCUGGAGCGCCUGGUGUGCAUUGGGUACCCGCAUGAGAUCCUGCGCUACACCUACGACCCCACCUUCCCCACCAGGUGUGUGGCUCAGGACAGGUGGGAGGCCACCCGGCCUUGGUACCCCCAUCCACAGUGCCCCCCGACCCCCGUCUGCAGGGGGCUGGUGUUUGAUGCACUCUAUGGGAACCUGCUGAAGGUGGACGCCCACGGGAAUGUGCUGCUGGGUGCCUAUGGCUUCACCUUCCUCUCGGAGUAAGGGACAAAGGUGCCAGGAGGGUGGCAGGCCAGGAAGGGAGGACUGCUCACCUUGGGGGAGGACAGAGGGAGGGAGGGAGGAAGGACACAGGCCCACGGUGGAGGCUCAGCACAGAAGGGAUGCG